UACGUAGGGUGCAAGCGUUGUCCGGAAUUAUUGGGCGUAAAGAGCUCGUAGGCGGUUUGUUGCGUCGGCUGUGAAAUCCCGAGGCUCAACCUCGGGCCUGCAGUCGAUACGAGCAAACUAGAGUGUUGCAGGGGAGACUGGAAUUCCUGGUGUAGCGGUGAAAUGCGCAGAUAUCUGGAGGAACACCGGUGGCGAAGGCGGCAUCCUGGACCGAUAUUGACGCUGAGGCGCGAAAGCUAGGGGAGCAAACGGG
RNAcentral lists this ribosomal RNA (253 nucleotides) under uncultured bacterium. Its description in RNAcentral is "partial 16S ribosomal RNA". It matches the Rfam family "Bacterial small subunit ribosomal RNA", at positions 524 to 776 of the family's 1533-position model. The record is from RNAcentral.